This 2860-nucleotide long non-coding RNA is filed under the name Canis lupus familiaris (dog). RNAcentral describes it as "lncRNA (ENSCAFG00000058382.1)". The record is from RNAcentral. Lineage: Eukaryota; Metazoa; Chordata; Mammalia; Carnivora; Canidae.
AUGUAGCCACAAGCUCAGGAGCGCUGGCAGCCACCAGAGGUGGGAAGAGACAGGAAGGACACCCCCCCACCACCACCACCGCCCGGAGCCUUCAGAGGGAGCGCCACCCUGCCCACAUUAAGAUUUUGGACUUCUGGCCUCCAGACUAUGUGAGGAUAUAUUUCUGUUGUAGGCCGCCCAGUCCGUGGUGCUCCGUGACGGCAGCGCCAGCACCCCGGCAGACUAGCCUGGUGGGGACUCCAAUGCAGGGAGCUGUUUAGACAGCCUGGCUCAUCCCCAGACCCACUGUAAGGAGCCUGCAUUUUCACAGGAUCCCCCUGGGCUUCCCACUGAAGUUUGAGAAGAUGGCCCUGCAACCUGUUUUGAGCAAGUGACUUUUCAAAAACCAUUGAACGGACACAACUAGUAACCGGGAGACAACUUUAGAAAUCCUCUAGCUCAUUACCCGUCACACGGUCAACUCUCAAAUAAAGCUUAUUUAGAGAAAGUUUGUUGUUAUGAAUGAAAUGGAGUAACAUCAGGAACAAAGGAAGAGCUAAUCAAGCAGCUCUCCAGAACAAGAGAUCCUCAUGAUGACUUGGGGCCCACCUGGGUCAUCUGCAGGAGGCCUCUGCCAUAUAAGUUCAAGCCACCUGCUGCCAGAAGCCCCCCCGGAUCUCCAGGCUGCACACUGGACACGUCUCUUCCUGCUCAGGUCCGGGCUGCUGAGCCCCCCAUCCCACUCACAUGCACCUGCAGCCUCCACCCCAACCACUGAGUUCAGAGUGGUGACCCUGCAUCUCACGGUUGGAUAUCCCACAGCAGGAACAGAAUCACUGUUGGAUGACAACAUGUCAUCAGAUAAAGGCAAGUCCUGCUUCUCUGGUGGGGAGGAUACAUUUCAAAUCCAGUGUCUUAAGGAGCAGAGUAUUUGCAACUAGAACCCCCAGGGGCACUGGGACGGGGCUUCAGUCCCAGCAGAGUACAGGGGCAGCCCGGCCGCCAAUAGAAACAAUGUCAUUAAAAGACACGUUGCAGAUCCGUGGGCCUACGAGAGGUACAGUGGUUUAGAUUUAGAAUAAUGGUAGAGAAGAGUUGCUAACGUAUCUGCCAGCCGGUUGUGCAUGAAGAUUCUGGGGGCCCUUGCUUCCUGUUCAGAUCCAGGAACCAGCCCUCCGUGUUCCUUGUCGAAUGCACCGAUCCUGGGGAGUUUCAUGCCUCCGACAGCAAGAAAAAGGCAGUGACACUGUUCUCACCCACAAGGCCGUGGCUCCUCGGAGUCUGUCUGCACUGAGACCUUUCUCGUCUGCAGUCGCCCAAGACCGGUCCCAUGAGGACCCGUGAUGGUGCGUCACCCACCUGACUCCCCUCCCCAGUGGUCCUGGCUCCAGGACUCUCUCAGAGGUUGUCACUCUGCUCUGUGAAUGAUACUCAUGUGGACAUCUGCCAGAGGAGGCACAAAACGAUGAAUGACAGCUUGUUUUCUGCUCGUGUUGAUUUUGCCAUUCUGAACUUCACAACGCGGACAGAGAGCCAUCUCGUCUCUGUCGGUGUCUCCUGAAGGAUUUGGGCUCCAUCUCUUUCACCGCUGACCGCACCUCUGCCUCCCGCACACUGCCACCGACAGGGACGAUGGCCGAGGAGCCGUGGGUAGAACAAGAAGAGGGGUCCCUUUCACACAAGGAGGGGCUGUCCCUCGGCAGCAUGGUCUGCGACUCACCUGGAAGAGCACGGGUUCAGAGUAUUGAUCAGGGGCAUUGGAAGGACCAUGGGUGUGUGGGACAAUGAACCAUCUGGAAAGCCCUUGGAGGAGGUGGGGUGGCCCUGGGCAGGACCCUCUGACAGGUGAUGCUGUAGACCAGAGAUGGCACCAGUCGGAAUGUGCUCAGGCGAAAGCUAACGUGUGGUCCCCACACAGCUCAAGCCCAAGGGCUGGCAGUGGACCAUCAGUAACCUGGAGUCCUCCACUAGUUUAGUGUCCGACAUGAAUGGGAGUCACCCCAAAACCAACACAUCAGCCUGCAAGAGAAAUACUAAGCUGGCCAUGAAGCCCCAGAACGAUCCCAUAGACUCAGGCCUGGAACUCCUUGGGGCAGCUGGUCAACCCCACGUGCCAGCUAGAAGGUUGGAUAGCACCCAGAGGGGGUAAACAGAGGCCAGGCCCCACACAGGACGCUGUCCAGGACUGAGGUACCCCAGCCAGAUGCCAGGACGCUCCUCCACCCCUUCCCUGCUGGCGAGGUCAGUUCCAGCCCUGGUGGGUGACUUAGAAAAAUGCAGAAGGGAGCAGUAAGAAGCGCAGGCCCCGCGAGGCAGGGGCCCCCUUGGCCCCAAGGCUCUAAGGACGGUACCGACCCUGGGCCUCCAUGCCCUCAUCUGUCACUGGGAGUAAUAAAACCACCGGACCGUGUCAGGCGCAGGUCAGCUAAGAUUCUGAAUGCCAAAGAAGCCCACCAAUGCUCAGGCAUGCUAUCGACGGGAGAUGUUAUUACUCGGACAGUGUUUCAGCUUGUACACACAGAGGGGUGUGAACAUCCAUUCUGGAAAAUCACUAGGACAACAUAGAGUAAAAAAAAAGCCAACCCAACAGCUCUUCUGAUAAGCACAGACCAGCAGUGGGAAGUGGAAAAAUAAAAAUCUCUUUCUUAGAAUCCUAAAAUUUGUUUCUUUGGUGUUGCUGGGGAUUGCACCACAUUUCCUCGAAGUUCUUUCCUGGAGCUUUCGUUGCAGAGUGGGGGUGGGUUUGUUUCCUGCAGGAGAAGAGUGAUUGGGAUCAAUGUGAGCUCUCAGGUGCCUGGGGAAGAGGAGGCAGGAGGCAGGAGACGUGUGGGGAGGAAGGAGCUGCAGCCCUGAGCAUUCACAUGGGGAGGUGGGGGGCGGG